RNAcentral lists this ribosomal RNA (482 nucleotides) under uncultured bacterium. RNAcentral's name for it is "SSU rRNA". It matches the Rfam family "Bacterial small subunit ribosomal RNA", at positions 26 to 523 of the family's 1533-position model. The record is from RNAcentral.
AGGACGAACGCUGGCGGCGUGCUUAACACAUGCAAGUCGAGCGAGGCCCUUCCUUCGGGAAGGUGCCCUAGCGGCGAACGGGUGAGUAACACGUGGGCAACCUGCCCCUAGCACUGGGAUAAGCCCGGGAAACCGGGUCUAAUACCGGAUAUGACCUUCGAGGGCAUCCUUGAAGGUGUAAAGGAUUCUGGCUAGGGAUGGGCCCGCGGCCUAUCAGCUUGUUGGUGGGGUAAUGGCCUACCAAGGCGACGACGGGUAGCCGGCCUGAGAGGGCGACCGGCCACACUGGGACUGAGACACGGCCCAGACUCCUACGGGAGGCAGCAGUGGGGAAUCUUGCACAAUGGGCGAAAGCCUGAUGCAGCGACGCCGCGUGAGGGAUGACUGCCUUCGGGUUGUAAACCUCUUUCAGCAGGGACGAAGCGAAAGUGACGGUACCUGCAGAAGAGCACCGGCCAACUACGCGCCAGCAGCCGCGGUAA